This 418-nucleotide ribosomal RNA is filed under the name uncultured bacterium. RNAcentral's name for it is "bacterial SSU rRNA". It matches the Rfam family "Bacterial small subunit ribosomal RNA", at positions 28 to 420 of the family's 1533-position model. The record is from RNAcentral.
GACGAACGCUGGCGGCGUGCUUAACACAUGCAAGUCGAACGAAAGGACGGGAAGAGCUUGCUCUUUCCGGAAUUGAGUGGCAAACGGGUGAGUAACACGUAAACAACCUGCCUUCAGGAUGGGGACAACAGACGGAAACGACUGCUAAUACCGAAUAAGUUCCAAGAGCCGCAUGGCCCAUGGAAGAAAAGGUGGCCUCUACCUGUAAGCUAUCGCCUGAAGAGGGGUUUGCGUCUGAUUAGCUGGUUGGAGGGGUAACGGCCCACCAAGGCGACGAUCAGUAGCCGGUCUGAGAGGAUGAACGGCCACACUGGAACUGAGACACGGUCCAGACUCCUACGGGAGGCAGCAGUGGGGAAUCUUCCGCAAUGGGCGAAAGCCUGACGGAGCAACGCCGCGUGAGUGAUGACGGCCUCGG